AUGCCUCACAAUUGUUGUGCUGUCCCUUCCCCAAUGCCCAGAGAUGCUCCACUCCACACUGCUGCUGGGGAGUUGGGGAGAGGUAGUGUCAGUGAUUCAAGAUUUUCUUCCACCUCUGCCAUCUCUGAGACAGCAAGACCAACCCCUUCUCUUCCUCCUCCUCAGCCUACUCAACAUGAAGACAAGGAUGAAGAUCUUUAUGAUGAUCCAUUUCCACUUAAUGAGUAGUAAAUACAUUUUAUCUUCCUUAUGAUUUUCUUGAUAACAUUUUUUUCUCUAGCUUACUUUACUGUAAGAAUACAGUAUAUAACACAUAUAACAUGGAAUAUGUGUUAACUGUUUAUGUUAUCAGCAAGGCUUCUAGUCAACAGUAGGCUAUUAGUAGUUAAGUUUUUGAGAAAUCAAAAGUUAUACACAGAUUUUCUAUUGCACAUGGUGUCAGUGCUCAUAACCCCCACAUUGUUAAAGGGUCAACUGUAACUACAAAAGAGGAUUCUGAAUGUUCUCAUCACAAAGAAAUGAUCAUUGUUACAUCUGUGUAGUGUGGGAACAAGGAAAAAAAAGAAAUGAUAAUUGUUUGAGGUGAUGGAUAAGCUAAGUACCCUGAUUUGAUCAUAUACAGUGUAUACAUGUAUCACAAUAUCAAAAUGUACCCAUUAAAUAUGCACAAUUAUUAUGUGUCAAUUUAAAAUGAAAUAAAACUUUGAGAAAAUAAAUGUCAGAUUGAUUUAAAUAUUAUGUGUAUAGAAGUAUUGUCUUCUAGAAUACACGAUAUUACACAAUUGCAUAAGUAAUGGACUUUUUAAAUUGUUUUUUUUUUUUAAUUAUACUUUAAGUUCUAGGAUACAUGUGCACAACGUGCAGGUUUGUUACAUAUGUAUACAUGUGCCAUGUUGGUGUGCUGCACCCAUUAACUUGUCAUUUACAUUAGGUAUAUCUCCUAAUGCUAUCCCUCCCGCCUCCCUCAACCCCACCACAGGCCCCGGUGUGUGAUGUUCCCCAUCCUGUGUCCAAGUGUUCUCAUUGUUUAAUUCCCACCUAUGAGUGAGAACAUGCGGUGUUUGGUUUUCUCUCCUUGCAAUAGUUUGCUCAGAAUGAUGGUUUCCAGCUUCAUCCAUGUCCCUGCAAAGGACAUGAACUCAUCCUUUAUAACACUGUUUACAUCAACUCUUUACUACAGUCACAAUAGGACUGUGAUAAUAACAUAAUGAAGCUAAUUUUUUUUGUUUACCCUAUAAGAAUUGGCCUCGUUAUUUUAUAGAACUGUGAAUUUCCUUAUCUUUUGAAUGAUUGACAGGUCUGGUGACAACACAAGUAGAACUGCUAGCUGAAUAAGUCCUAUUUUAUGUAGUAGAAGAAUAGCUGUUUUAACAUCUAGUAUAUCUUUGAGUGGGUAUUAUCUAAGAUAUUCUGCCUUCGAUGUUGAUAGUUUUUUGAUAAUACAUUUGCCAGUGAUUAAUCUUAACACAGUUAUUUUGCCAUUUGGUGGGGGAAAAAAAAGCGAUAUUGAGUUCCUUGAAAAAUAGGACCAUAGCCUUUAUCUAGCUGAGUUAGAUGCCAAAGUGUGUGGAUUAAACAUCUGUAGAUAAUCAUGAGAUUCUAGCAUUAUUACUAUUGCUAUUUUAUUUUUAUGUCAGAAGACUAUGACUUUAUCUUUUUCAAACAGGAUGGAUCCUAUUGGAUAAGGACAUUAUUUAUUAGAAUAAAACUUUCUAAUAAAUUUUUUUAGAGAAAAAACAUUUUUGAUACACUGAUUUUUAUUUCUAGUUUUUCAAAUUUUGUGUAUCCUAUAGCCUACAUUAUUUUGUCCUUAGCUUAUUAUAACAAAUGUAGGCAGUAUGAGUCAAAUGUAGCUGUGUUAUAACCAUAAAUUCAAAUAAAUACAUUUUGAAAUAAUUUUAUUAAAUAUCAAACUGCAAUAACUAUACAGACUGAGAAAGUAUAUUAUAAAAGAAUGUGUUUAAGCAUGAAUUAAUGCUCAAAUUUUUAAGCUUUUAUAUUUCUAAAAAGGAGCUUGGCAAUCAUAUUUUUCAAUUUAGUAGUAGAUUAGUAUGGGAAUAAAUUAGAACUCACUAGCAAAGAAAUAUUAAAGAAGAGACAAGAAGUUUCUUUUUCUGUGCAUUUACUUAUUGAAUGAGCCCAUUAGCCAUUCUGACCAUGCUGUAUU
RNAcentral lists this long non-coding RNA (2167 nucleotides) under Papio anubis (olive baboon). RNAcentral describes it as "lncRNA (ENSPANG00000045156.1)". The record is from RNAcentral. Lineage: Eukaryota; Metazoa; Chordata; Mammalia; Primates; Cercopithecidae.